Molecule: long non-coding RNA, 1080 nt
Organism: Gasterosteus aculeatus aculeatus (three-spined stickleback)
Lineage: Eukaryota; Metazoa; Chordata; Actinopteri; Perciformes; Gasterosteidae
Source: Ensembl
GGGUAUUUCUACACAACAAACUAAUCAAACUGUUAGCAAGAUGGUCAAUGAUCAGUAAUGAUGCUUGCAUGCAGGAAUGAUUUGUGGUUACUGUAUUUAGAGCAUGUUAAAACUGAUUUGCUUUUCUUUGUAGCACAGACUUCAAUUUAUCCAGCAGUGUGUGGCAUUAAGACGGACAUCAAUAAAGUACAAUGUGAUAAAGAAACUUUUUUUUAUUCUCAAAGUUGAAUAUCAUAAAAAUCAUGGUGGUUGAACUAUGCAUAACAAUAACAAUGUGUGGAAGAAUUUCAACUAGGUCUUCAUUUGACUCCUCCUCCUGCGAAUUGAUCUGAAAACAAACAAACAUCAGGUGAAGAGUGUGUAGUGUUGCUGACCUUCAAUCAGAGAGAUGUAAGAGCAGGGGGGGGGUGUGUGAGAGAAAAAGAGUUCAGCUCAGGGAUUGGUCAGACAGCCAAGAGGAAGUGACAUCACAGGAGUUCAGCCUAAUAUGCGAAACCUAUCUGACUCUCAUCAUCCGUCCCUGCCGAUAUCAGGUCUACUCGACUCGAUGUCUUUAUGGUUAAAUCAGUAAAAGGUGUAGAAUUGAUUGAUGUAGUAGAGCGCAGUCGCCCGAGGAAUUGCGCAGCCGCCCGAGGAAUUGCGCAGCCGCCCGAGGAAUUGCGCAGCCGCCCGAGGAAUUGCGCAGCCGCCCGAGGAAUUGCGCAGCCCUAGCGCAUGUCUCACCUUUGCAUUCUCCUCAGUUCAUCCUCUCAGCGCUUCAGGAAUCAGCUGAUGUCCCUUUGUAAACAAUAAGAAAAGGAAAAUGUCAAUCACAGAGACAGACAUGUUUGUGUGAGAGAAAAAGUUCAACUCAGGGAUUGGUCAGACAGCCAAGAGAAAGUGACAUCACAGGAGUUCAGCCAAAUAUGCGAAACCUAUCUGACUCUCAUCAUCCGUCCCUGCCGAUAUCAAGUCUGCGAUGUCUUUAUGGUUAAAUCAGUAAAAGGUGUAGAAUUGAUUGAUGUAGAAUUGCGCAGUCGCCCGAGGAAUUGCGCAGUCGCCCGAGGAAUUGCGCAGCCCUAGCGCAUGUCUCACCUUUGC